This 1289-nucleotide ribosomal RNA is filed under the name uncultured bacterium. RNAcentral describes it as "partial 16S ribosomal RNA". It matches the Rfam family "Bacterial small subunit ribosomal RNA", at positions 27 to 1337 of the family's 1533-position model. The record is from RNAcentral.
GGACGAACGCGGGCGGCGUGCUUACACAUGCAAGUCGAGCGGAAAGGCCCUUCGGGGUACUCGAGCGGCGAACGGGUGAGUAACACGUGAGUAACCUGCCCUUGGCUUUGGGAUAACCCUCGGAAACGGGGGCUAAUACCGGAUAUUCACUGUCUAUCGCAUGGUGGGUGGUGGAAAGUUUUUCGGCUGGGGAUGGGCUCGCGGCCUAUCAGCUUGUUGGUGGGGUGAUGGCCUACCAAGGCGACGACGGGUAGCCGGCCUGAGAGGGCGACCGGCCACACUGGGACUGAACACCGCCCCAGACUCCUACGGGAGGCACCACUGGGGAAUAUGCACAAUGGGCGGAGCCUGAUGCAGCGACGCCGCGUGAGGGAUGACGGCUUCGGGUUGUAAACCUCUUUCAGCAGGGGACGAAGCGUGAGUGACGGUACCUGCAGAAGAAGCGCCGGCCAACUACGUGCCAGCAGCCGCGGUAAGACGUAGGGCGCGGGCGUUGUCCGGAUUUAUUGGGCGUAAAGAGCUCGUAGGCGGCUUGUCGCGUCGACUGUGAAAUCCCGUGGCUCAACUGCGGGUCUGCAGUCGAUACGGGCAGGCUAGAGUUCGGUAGGGGAGACUGGAAUUCCCGGUGUAGCGGUGAAAUGCGCAGAUAUCGGGAGGAACACCAGUAGCGAAGGCGGCUCGCUGGGCCGUUCCUGACGCUGAGACGCGAAAGCUAGGGGAGCGAACAGGAUUAGAUACCCUGGUAGUCCUAGCCGUAAACGAUGGACACUAGGUGUGGGGGGAGUCGAAUCCCUCUGUGCCGCAGUUAACGCGUUAAGUGUCCCGCCUGGGGAGUACGGCCGCAAGGCUAAAACUCAAAAGAAUUGACGGGGGCCCGCACAAGCAGCGGAGCAUGUUCUUUAAUUCGAUGCAACGCGAAGAACCUUACCUGGGCUUGACAUGGUGCUGCAAGCGCACGGAAACGUGUGACCUUCGAGGGUGCACCACAGAUGCUGCAUGGCUGUCGUCAGCUCGUGUCGUGAGAUGUUGGGUUAAGUCCCGCAACGAGCGCAACCCCUGUGGCGUGUUACCAUCAUUAAGUUGGGGACUCACGCCAGACUGCCGGUGACAAACCGGAGGAAGGUGGGGAUGAGGUCAAGUCAUCAUGGCUCUUACGUCCAGGGCUAGAAACGUGCUACAAUGGCUGAUACAAAGGGUUGCAAGACCGCAAGGUGGAGCGAAUCUCAUCAAAGUCAGUCUAAGUUCGGAUCGCAGUCUGCAACUCGACUGCGUGAAGGCAGUAGUUGCUA